This 660-nucleotide small RNA is filed under the name Pongo abelii (Sumatran orangutan). Its description in RNAcentral is "processed transcript". Lineage: Eukaryota; Metazoa; Chordata; Mammalia; Primates; Hominidae. The record is from RNAcentral.
GAUUGGCCAGCUGGGGUCAUAUGAUCACUGGUUGGCCAGAAGAAGUGGGGUACUUUGAUUUACAGUCCAGCCUAGACUGCACCAAUGGUGGAGGUGGGAGUCUUCCCAGAAGAAAACUGCCAGCUAAGGGGAGGUGAAUACAUUGAUUAUACCAAAGAUCCUGGAAUAUUCAGAAGAGCAGUCGGGGAAUGUUGUCCAUGGAGUGGGACUCUGCUUUGCCCUUUUUCUCUCCGAAUGUGUGAAGUCUCUGAGUCUUUCCUCCAGUUGGAUUAUCAACCAGCGCACAGCCAUCAGGUUCCGAGCAGCUGUUUCCUCCUUUGCCUUUGAGAAGCUCAUCCAAUUUAAGUCUAUAAUACACAUCACCUCAGGAGAGGCCAUCGGCUUCUUCACCGGUGACAUAAACUACCUGUUUGAAGGGGUGUGCUAUGGACCCCUAGCACUGAUCAUCUGUGCAUCGCUGGUCAUCUGCAGCAUUUCUUCCUACUUCAUUAUUGGAUACACUGCAUUUAUUGCCAUUUUAUGCUAUCUCCUGGUUUUCCCUCUGGAGGCAUUCAUGACAAGAAUGGCUGUGAAGGCUCAGCAUCACACAUCUGAGGUCAGCGACCAGCGCAUCCGUGUGACCAGUGAAGUCCUCACUUGCAUUAAGCUGAUUAAAAUGUA